GUAGUCAUAUGCUUGUCUCAAAGAUUAAGCCAUGCAUGUCUAAGUAUAAGCACUUUAUACUGUGAAACUGCGAACGGCUCAUUAAAUCAGUUAUCGUUUAUUUGAUAGUACCUUACUACAUGGAUACCUGUGGUAAUUCCAGAGCUAAUACAUGCUGAAAACCCCAACUUCGGAAGGGGUGUAUUUAUUAGAUAAAAAACCAAUGCCCUUCGGGGCUCCUUGGUGAAUCAUAAUAACUUAACGAAUCGCAUGGCCUUGCGCCGGCGAUGGUUCAUUCAAAUUUCUGCCCUAUCAACUUUCGAUGGUAGGAUAGUGGCCUACCAUGGUGGCAACGGGUAACGGGGAAU
RNAcentral lists this ribosomal RNA (347 nucleotides) under uncultured fungus. RNAcentral's name for it is "SSU rRNA". It matches the Rfam family "Eukaryotic small subunit ribosomal RNA", at positions 20 to 370 of the family's 1831-position model. The record is from RNAcentral. RNAcentral also lists the same sequence under 1 other name. Lineage: Eukaryota; Fungi.